UAUUUUGGAAGAGAUGCAUUUAUUAGAUAAAAAACCAAUACAUACUUUUUCAAGUAUGAAAUUUGGUGAUUUACAAUAACUUAGCAAAUCGCAUAGUGAAAACAGGCGAUAAAUCAUUCAAGUUUCUGACCUAUCAGCUUUCGACGGUAUGGUAUUGGCUUACCGUGGCAGUGACGGUUAACGGGGGAUUAGGGUUCGAUUCCGGAGAGGGAGCCUGAGAAACGGCUACCACAUCUAAGGAAGGCAGCAGGCGCGCAAAUUACCCAAUUCUAACAGCAUAAGAGAGGUAGUGACAAGAAAUAACAAUACAAGGCAGUUAAAAUGCUUUGUAAUUGGAAUGAUAGAAAUUUAAACACUUUUUAAAGUAUCAAUUGGAGGGCAAGUCUGGUGCCAGCAGCCGCGGUAAUUCCAGCUCCAAUAGCGUAUAUUAAAAUUGUUGCAGUUAAAAAGCUCGUAGUUGAAUUUCUGUUAAAAAUAACCGGUCUGCUUUUAAUAAAAGUGGUAUCUUGGUGUGUUUUUAGCAAUAAUGUCCUUUGAAAUGUUUUUUACUUUAUUGUAAUAAAUAAUAUUCAGGAUUUUUACUUUGAGAAAAUUAGAGUGUUUCUAGCAGGCUAACGCUUUGAAUACUGCAGCAUGGAAUAAUAAAAUAGGAUUUUAGUUCUACAUUAUUGGUUUUAGGAACUAAAUUAAUGAUUGAUAGGGACAGUUGGGGGCAUUUGUAUUUAACUGUCAGAGGUGAAAUUCUUAGAUUUGUUAAAGACAAACUACUGCGAAAGCAUUUGCCAAAGAUGUUUUCAUUAAUCAAGAAC
This 809-nucleotide ribosomal RNA is filed under the name Hepatozoon felis. RNAcentral's name for it is "SSU rRNA". It matches the Rfam family "Eukaryotic small subunit ribosomal RNA", at positions 188 to 984 of the family's 1831-position model. The record is from RNAcentral. Lineage: Eukaryota; Apicomplexa; Hepatozoidae.